This 567-nucleotide ribosomal RNA is filed under the name uncultured bacterium. RNAcentral describes it as "bacterial SSU rRNA". It matches the Rfam family "Bacterial small subunit ribosomal RNA", at positions 1 to 535 of the family's 1533-position model. The record is from RNAcentral.
CUUNUGUACUCGCGACCAUCUCGCUUAAGUUGAUCAUGGCUCAGCUGAGCGGUNACGGCAGGCCUAACACAUGCAAGUCGAGCCGGAUGAAUGGGAGCUUGCUCCCGGAUUCAGCGGCGGACGGGUGAGUAAUGCCUAGGAAUCUGCCUGGUAGUGGGGGACAACGUUUCGAAAGGAACGCUAAUACCGCAUACGUCCUACGGGAGAAAGCAGGGGACCUUCGGGCCUUGCGCUAUCAGAUGAGCCUAGGUCGGAUUAGCUAGUUGGUGGGGUAAAGGCCUACCAAGGCGACGAUCCGUAACUGGUCUGAGAGGAUGAUCAGUCACACUGGAACUGAGACACGGUCCAGACUCCUACGGGAGGCAGCCAGUGGGGAAUAUUGGACAAUGGGCGAAAGCCUGAUCCAGCCAUGCCGCGUGUGUGAAGAAGGUCUUCGGAUUGUAAAGCACUUUAAGUUGGGAGGAAGGGCAGUAAGUUAAUACCUUGCCUGUAUAUUGACGUUACCAACAGACAUAAGCACCGGCUAACUUCGUGCCAGCAAGCCGCCGGAUAAAUACGAACGGGUGC